AGUAGUUUGAUCCUGGCUACAGAACACGCUGGCGGCAUGCCUAACACAUGCAAGUCGAACGAGACCUUCGGGUCUAGUGGCGCACGGGUGCGUAACGCGUGGGGAUCUGCCCUUUGCUUCGGAAUAACAGUUAGAAAUGACUGCUAAUACCGGAUGAUGACUUCGGUCCAAAGAUUUAUCGGCAAAGGAUGAACCCGCGUAGGAUUAGCUAGUUGGUGGGGUAAAGGCCUACCAAGGCGACGAUCCUUAGCUGGUCUGAGAGGAUGAUCAGCCACACUGGGACUGAGACACGGCCCAGACUCCUACGGGAGGCAGCAGUGGGGAAUAUUGGACAAUGGGCGAAAGCCUGAUCCAGCAAUGCCGCGUGAGUGAUGAAGGCCUUAGGGUUGUAAAGCUCUUUUACCCGGGAUGAUAAUGACAGUACCGGGAGAAUAAGCUCCGGCUAACUCCGUG
This 453-nucleotide ribosomal RNA is filed under the name uncultured bacterium. RNAcentral's name for it is "bacterial SSU rRNA". It matches the Rfam family "Bacterial small subunit ribosomal RNA", at positions 1 to 507 of the family's 1533-position model. The record is from RNAcentral.